This 1092-nucleotide ribosomal RNA is filed under the name Escherichia coli. RNAcentral describes it as "partial 23S ribosomal RNA". It matches the Rfam family "Bacterial large subunit ribosomal RNA", at positions 795 to 1869 of the family's 2925-position model. The record is from RNAcentral. Lineage: Bacteria; Pseudomonadati; Pseudomonadota; Gammaproteobacteria; Enterobacterales; Enterobacteriaceae.
AAUUAGCGGAUGACUUGUGGCUGGGGGUGAAAGGCCAAUCAAACCGGGAGAUAGCUGGUUCUCCCCGAAAGCUAUUUAGGUAGCGCCUCGUGAAUUCAUCUCCGGGGGUAGAGCACUGUUUCGGCAAGGGGGUCAUCCCGACUUACCAACCCGAUGCAAACUGCGAAUACCGGAGAAUGUUAUCACGGGAGACACACGGCGGGUGCUAACGUCCGUCGUGAAGAGGGAAACAACCCAGACCGCCAGCUAAGGUCCCAAAGUCAUGGUUAAGUGGGAAACGAUGUGGGAAGGCCCAGACAGCCAGGAUGUUGGCUUAGAAGCAGCCAUCAUUUAAAGAAAGCGUAAUAGCUCACUGGUCGAGUCGGCCUGCGCGGAAGAUGUAACGGGGCUAAACCAUGCACCGAAGCUGCGGCAGCGACGCUGAUGCGUUGUUGGGUAGGGGAGCGUUCUGUAAGCCUGUGAAGGUGUGCUGUGAGGCAUGCUGGAGGUAUCAGAAGUGCGAAUGCUGACAUAAGUAACGAUAAAGCGGGUGAAAAGCCCGCUCGCCGGAAGACCAAGGGUUCCUGUCCAACGUUAAUCGGGGCAGGGUGAGUCGACCCCUAAGGCGAGGCCGAAAGGCGUAGUCGAUGGGAAACAGGUUAAUAUUCCUGUACUUGGUGUUACUGCGAAGGGGGGACGGAGAAGGCUAUGUUGGCCGGGCGACGGUUGUCCCGGUUUAAGCGUGUAGGCUGGUUUUCCAGGCAAAUCCGGAAAAUCAAGGCUGAGGCGUGAUGACGAGGCACUACGGUGCUGAAGCAACAAAUGCCCUGCUUCCAGGAAAAGCCUCUAAGCAUCAGGUAACAUCAAAUCGUACCCCAAACCGACACAGGUGGUCAGGUAGAGAAUACCAAGGCGCUUGAGAGAACUCGGGUGAAGGAACUAGGCAAAAUGGUGCCGUAACUUCGGGAGAAGGCACGCUGAUAUGUAGGUGAAGUCCCUCGCGGAUGGAGCUGAAAUCAGUCGAAGAUACCAGCUGGCUGCAACUGUUUAUUAAAAACACAGCACUGUGCAAACACGAAAGUGGACGUAUACGGUGUGACGCCUGCCCGGUGC